Molecule: ribosomal RNA, 433 nt
Filed under: uncultured bacterium
Lineage: Bacteria
Description: partial 16S ribosomal RNA
Rfam family: Bacterial small subunit ribosomal RNA
Source: RNAcentral
AACGAACGCUGGCGGCAUGCCUAACACAUGCAAGUCGAACGAGACCUUCGGGUCUAGUGGCGCACGGGUGCGUAACGCGUGGGAACCUGCCCUUAGGUUCGGAAUAACUCCCCGAAAGGGGUGCUAAUACCGGAUAAUGUCUUCGGACCAAAGAUUUAUCGCCUUUGGAUGGGCUCGCGUUGGAUUAGCUAGUUGGUAGGGUAAAAGCCUACCAAGGCGACGAUCCAUAGCUGGUCUGAGAGGAUGAUCAGCCACACUGGGACUGAGACACGGCCCAGACUCCUACGGGAGGCAGCAGUGGGGAAUAUUGGACAAUGGGCGAAAGCCUGAUCCAGCAAUGCCGCGUGAGUGAUGAAGGCCUUAGGGUUGUAAAGCCCUUUUACCCGGGAUGAUAAUGACAGUACCGGGAGAAUAAGCUCCGGCUAACUCCGUG